This 71-nucleotide transfer RNA is filed under the name Toxocara canis (dog roundworm). It matches the Rfam family "tRNA". From Rfam's summary of the family: Transfer RNA (tRNA) molecules are approximately 80 nucleotides in length. Their secondary structure includes four short double-helical elements and three loops (D, anti-codon, and T loops). The record is from Rfam by way of RNAcentral. Lineage: Eukaryota; Metazoa; Nematoda; Chromadorea; Rhabditida; Toxocaridae.
CGAGUAGUAGCUCAUAGUACAGCUCCCGCUUCGUAUGCGGGAAGACUUGGGUUCGAUUCCCUGAUGCUUGC